CCACCAUAAUUUUUCCCAUAUACACUUGCUCUCUGGAAUUCCAUUUUGUUCUCAGUAAGUGUCCCCGUUUUGUCUGAAAAGAUAUAGCGUACCUGACCCAAGUCCUCAUUUAUAUUCAAUGAUCUGCACUGAAACCUUGAGCCAGAACUAUAAUCAUACAUAUGCCUGUCUCCAAUCAUGAAAUAGGACUGUCCUAAACGAACCAACUCCAUUGU
RNAcentral lists this unclassified non-coding RNA (215 nucleotides) under Hevea brasiliensis (rubber tree). Lineage: Eukaryota; Viridiplantae; Streptophyta; Magnoliopsida; Malpighiales; Euphorbiaceae. The record is from RNAcentral.